GCCGGCACCUUUUCUUUAUCCUCUUUUACAAACCACAAUAUCCUCGAUCCUUUAAUUUACAGUAUCUUUACUCUUCCCUAGUGUUGCAAUGUGACAAAAUGUACAGUGAGAUUUAAGUCUCGUACGUGGGAAUUAAGGUUCCGGAUGUUCCUUAAUAACCUCAGUCAAAGAUGGAGAAGAUGCACUGCUAAUUCUGCUAGGCACAGGUGUAUUUCUUCUCGAUUGGCGUUUUGUAGGGACGAGAACACUCUCUGUCACCAAUUUUUCACUUAUGUCUUCAUCCUCUUCGUCAUCAUCA
Molecule: unclassified non-coding RNA, 298 nt
Filed under: Hevea brasiliensis (rubber tree)
Lineage: Eukaryota; Viridiplantae; Streptophyta; Magnoliopsida; Malpighiales; Euphorbiaceae
Source: RNAcentral